GCUGGGUGCAGUGGCGUGUGUGUGUGUAGUCCCAGCUACUCAGGAGGCUGAGGCUGGUGGAUCACUUGAGUCCAGGAGUUCUGGGCUGUAGUGCUGCUAUGCUGAUCAGGUGUCCGCAUUAAGCUCGGCAUCAGUAUGGUGACUUCCUGGAAGUGGGGGACCACCAGGUCGCCUAAGGAGGGGUAUAACAGCCCAGGUCGGAAACGGAGCAGGUCAAAACUCCUGUGCUGAUCAGUAGUGGGAUCAUGCCUGUGAAUAGCCACUGCACUCUAGCCUGGGAAACAUAGCGAGACCCCGUCUCU
This 302-nucleotide signal recognition particle RNA is filed under the name Cebus imitator (Panamanian white-faced capuchin). RNAcentral describes it as "Metazoan signal recognition particle RNA (ENSCCAG00000001674.1)". It matches the Rfam family "Metazoan signal recognition particle RNA". Rfam says of the family: The signal recognition particle (SRP) is a universally conserved ribonucleoprotein. It is involved in the co-translational targeting of proteins to membranes. The eukaryotic SRP consists of a 300-nucleotide 7S RNA and six proteins: SRPs 72, 68, 54, 19, 14, and 9. Lineage: Eukaryota; Metazoa; Chordata; Mammalia; Primates; Cebidae. The record is from RNAcentral.